AUGCAGUACCACUGUAAUAAAAACGGUGUAUAGUGAUACUUUUAAAUGUCGGUACAGAUCAAAAAAGUGUUGUUGGCUAAAUUACCAAUACUUUUUAAAAAUAUUGCUAUAUGUUGGGUCGCGAUAUGUGGGGCCACCUUGAUGUUUCGUACUCACUCCUCCAGCUACCUGUGGUGGAGGGAUAUGUAGCAAUCAUAGCCCUCUAUGAUCUCCACGAGAUUCUCGCCGCCAGAACCGUACCUCGUCGGCUAUGGCGACGGAGGAGGAGAAGGAGAGAUCGAUGGUGAUCAUUUUUUUUUUCUUUUAUAUUUGUAAUCGAGCCGAGUGGGCUGGGUAGGGUUGGUUAAGUAUAGAAAUUUUUUAUUUUUGAUUAAAUUGGGUUUUAUAUUUAGACGUUAAUAAAUUUUUUAAAAAAGUUUUGACAUAAAUAGAAUACUUACACAAAAAUAUACUUUAUAAUCUAAUUCUGUUGUACUGUACUAUUUAAAAUUUGUUUAAUAUAUAUCUCUAUUCAGUGAUAUAAUCAAAAGUUCUAAGUUGGAUUUUAUGAGGUUGCGACUCCAAAUACUAAUUUGGGUUUCUAAUAUUGCAUGCAGUAGAAAUUCCUGAGUUUUUUUAUUUGUCUAUGUUGAAUAUAAAAUAUAUAAGACAUCAUUCUCCAAUACUUUAAGAUUGUUUUUAAAAAAUAAUCAUUUCAUAUUAUUUAUGAGCAAGAGAUUCUGAGUUCGAGUCCGGUCAGAUUCCUAGCUAGCAUUUUUUAAUUUCUUCCGAUUUAAUUUAGCUCAUGUUUUGGGUCUAUUAAAAAAGUUGAGUCCAGCUGUGGGAAGGAGUUUUGAAUAGGAGUGCCCAGAUGUGAGGAGAAGUGUUGAAUAUAAAAUAUAUAAACACUAUAUUCCGGUAGCUUAAAAUUUUUCAAGAAAGAUAAUUGUUAGGUAAAGCGAAGUUGGAGCACAAUAUGCCUUUUCGCUUUUUAGUAGGAUCAUAGCAAGUACAUAUAAUUGACACAUUAUCAUAUGCAGAAUAUGAUAUUACAUACAAAAUAAACAGAGUAUUUUUUUUAUUGUACUUUUUCACCGUAGAUAUAUAAUAAAAUCCUUCCGUAAUUCCAAACGAAACUAAGUACUCUAACGAAACUAA
This 1137-nucleotide long non-coding RNA is filed under the name Ananas comosus (pineapple). RNAcentral's name for it is "long non-coding RNA (ACOM_LNC029821)". Lineage: Eukaryota; Viridiplantae; Streptophyta; Magnoliopsida; Poales; Bromeliaceae. The record is from RNAcentral.